GGGGCCUUAGCUCAGCCGGGAGAGCGCCUGCUUUGCACGCAGGAGGUCGGGGGUUCGAUCCCCCCAGGCUCCACCA
RNAcentral lists this transfer RNA (76 nucleotides) under Sporolactobacillus sp. THM7-4. RNAcentral's name for it is "tRNA-Ala". It matches the Rfam family "tRNA". Rfam says of the family: Transfer RNA (tRNA) molecules are approximately 80 nucleotides in length. Their secondary structure includes four short double-helical elements and three loops (D, anti-codon, and T loops). The record is from RNAcentral. Lineage: Bacteria; Bacillati; Bacillota; Bacilli; Caryophanales; Sporolactobacillaceae.